GGGUAGAGACGCUAGGCCGGCACUGCCUAGGUGGGCCGGGCGGUGCGAGGGUCGCCUUUCAGCCUUUACCUCUACCCACUGAAAUGGAGUAGGUCGGUGAGCGCCGAUCUGCUGGAGAAUCUCAUUAUCCCAUCGGCGCUCUGCCUGCUCCUGGCCUCCAAGCCUCUGAAGCCCCUCGGGUUUCAGCUGCCGGCUACCCUCGAGCCCGUGGUGCCCACGAGAGAGGCGACUUUACGUCAGCGGCCCUGGGCUGAGAUUUGAGAACGCGACCAAGUGGAGAAUGUUGGAGCCAGAUUUUAAAAUCCUUGUCUUCCUUCUGCGUGCUACUUGAUCUAAAUGAGAUACGGCAAAGUCACAGAACCUGUUUUUAUGUUUUUGCCUGAUUCAUACGGGCUUCUCCGGUGAAGAUGGGCCUGAAGUAACGCUUGGGUUGCUUCUGACGUUAUAACUCAUCCUGUAGCUGCAGCAACCGUGGUCCUUGCAACCUCAUAAAAAUGUUGCCAGCAUUGUUUCGAUAGUGCUGCUUAAUUCUUGGAAGGCCUCUUUGCUUUCUUCCCUGAGGUUCUUCGGACUUCACACAUUCCAGCAGUAGCUCUCUCAGCUCCUGUCCUGCACAGCUUUGAAGUGCUGGUGAUGUCAUUGAACUCUUAAGUGCAAGAUGAAACAAGUCUUUCUGGGGUUCUAAGUAGCGUCUUCAAAGUGUCUUCUGUAAAGACUUCUUCAGACUGUCAAUAGGAAGACUGAUAAACUCAGAGUCUAGCCCUGUCGCCCAGGCUGGAGUGCCAUGGUUUGAACUCUACUCACCGCAACCUCCACCUCCCAGGUUCAAAUGAUUCUCCUGCCUCAGCCUCCUGAAUAUCUGGGAUUACAGGUGUCUUUGUGAAGCUUCCUAUCUUUGCUUUUCAACUAAGAUGAAACAGCAUUUAAAAGAAAAUGCCAUGUGAGAUGAGAUCAGGAGAAUGGAUUCUUUCUUUCAUCUGAAUAGAGAGCUGCUGUUCGAGAUUCUAACUCAAAUAGCUCAAAGGACACCUUCUCCGGGAAACCUUCCCUGACUUCCGACGCUGUUUCCUGUUGGGCAUCUAUGUAAAUCAUUUGGAGUUUUUGCCUUUCCUCUUAGAAGAAAAAUAUGAAUGAUUUGACUGAACAGGCCUAUAGCCAAACCCAAGAUGAUCUUUCCAAGCGUGAACUCCAUCUUCAAACUUCUAAUCUUAAACCUUAAAGAAGAAACUAUGGCAAUGUCUCUUCCACCACUCUUGACUAGCAUGAUGUGUUGCCAAAAGACUUCAGAUCAUAAGUGCGAAAUAAAAAAUCAAAAAUUGACUGCAUCUUUUCUCAUUGCUCAACAACUGUCAAACAACUGAGAAAUUUGUUUUGGAUGAAGCAGUAACAUUCCUUCUUCCACUCCCAGCCCCAUUCCACGUAGUCUGCAGUUCCUCACUGACCACUGAUUGAUGUCAACGUGCAAACUCUCAGACAGAAGACAAGAAAUAUGUCCUGGGUUUUCUGGUUCCUCAAGCUUCUGACUAGGACCAGAGCCAGCAAUUACACACACUUAUCCCUAUUCUUUCCAUGAAUGCAGAGAAAGAAAGACCUUCUUGGGCUGUAAGAAAUACUCUAUUCCUCACACAUAAUAACUAAGGCUCAGCAGCUUGUAAAAAGGCAUGGUCCAGGGCAUGUCAGGACAAGGAAGAGCGGUAAGUUGUUUCUCUGUCUUUCCUCUGUAUUCUUUCAUAAUUGGGACAAGGCCUCAGCUGACAAGGAGCUGGCAGAACACUGGGGACAGCUGGUAUGUAAGAACCAACACCGUCCCAUCAGUCAUUUAUUCAACACAUGUUUAUUGAGUAUCUGCAACGUGACUGCACCGUUAUAGAGUCUGCAUUGUUGUAGGUCCUGAGAAAAAAACUGCAAAGCAAAAGUACACACAGGCUUGCCCUCCUGAAAUGUACAGUCAGGUGGAGAUGGCAGAUAUUAAGAAACUAACUUGUGCUAUUGAAGUUUAAAAGAAAGGGAUCUUACUGAGUCUGAGGAGAGGGAUGAAUCAAUGCAGACUUCCUAGAAGAACUGGCAUAUAAACCAAGAACUGAAAGAGGAAUAGACAUUAAACCAGAAAACAGAAUGGAAGAAAAAUAGAUUUACGAUGCAAAAACCGUAAAGGAAAGAGUUCAGUAUGACUGGAAUAUAUAGACAGAAGAUAAUGGUUUAUGAUAAGACUGAAAAGGAAUGCAGGGUCUAGAUAAAGAGACUCUUCAAAUUAGUAAGAAUUUUUUUGAGACAAUAAAAGACCAUUUUGCUUUGGCAAAAUAAUAAUAAUAAUAACACUCAGUGUAGUGUGAACUAUAAAUUUAGGAGAGCAAGAGUAAUUGUGGGGAAAUCAGUUAAGAGACUUGCUUUAGCCAAGAAAACAGUUGAUGUUGGAUUAAACCAUGGAGAAGAUAAUGGAGAUAAUGACAAGUGGACAGAUUUUGGAAAUCAAUAUCUUUUGGUAAUUAAUUGAACAUAGGAGAAAGAAGAAAAGAUGGGGUUACAUAGGACUCUGAAAUUUCUGAACAAUCAGCUGGGAAGAUGAUAGCAUUAUUUGUUGUGUAAAGAACAUGAGAAGAGGCUCGGGAUUGGAAGGACACAUGAGGAGCUCUGGUUUUGACACAGUGAGUGUGGUAUAUGGGCUCUCACUUACGUGGGUCUAGAGCUAAGAAGAGAAGUCAUGGGUUGGACGCAAAAGUGUGGGUUUUGGCAGCAUUUAGGUAGUAAAAAUUUGGCAAAUGGUUAAGAGUAUAUUACAGGAAAAGAAAAUAAUUUAGGUCAGAGUCCAGAGGAAAGCAUACAUUUAACACAGAAGAAUAAAACCUGAGAAAUAACUGGUAAACGAGAUUAGGAAGCAGUCAGAGAGGAAGAAAGCCAGGAGGAUACGGUGUGGCAUGGAAGCCAAUGGAGAGAUUGUUUCAAGAAGAAGAAGAUAGUUAACAGUAGGGAAUUAUCAACAUAGAGAUUAAGAAAUGUGGAUUUACCAAUAAGGAGGACAUUCGUGUUCUUCAAAAUGAAAACCAGAGAAGAGGUAAAAGCAAAAAAAAAAAAAAAAAAUUGUCAAGAGGCAAGAACAGAACUUGAAAGAGAAUACCAGGAAACCAUGGAAAGUGAAGAUAGACUUAGAGAGUAUGGUCAAAAGUUAGGACAGAGAAAUCAGAUGAGCUGAUCUGAAAUCCAGAAACUAUUCAUGGAGAACACACCCCAGGCGAGUGACUUUUGAAAGUCCUUUCCUUUAUACUUACCUAUAUUAAUUGCUGAAUGUAAAAAUAUCAUAUUUUAAUUAUUUAUUACCAAAAUAAUGUAUUUCCUUGUGGAAUAACUUAAAAAAUGUAGAAGAGUAAAGAAAUGAUCCAUAUUCUUCGCAUAAAAAGAAAAACAAUAUUGAUGUUUGCUCUUUCCAUCAGAAUUGUCCAAAUAAAUAAUCAUUCUAUACACAUUACUUUGAAAUAUGUUUUCUUUGCAUAAUAUUUUAGCAUAACCAAUUAUAUUUUAUUAUAAGUUGGGU
Homo sapiens (human) is the source of this 3529-nucleotide long non-coding RNA. Ensembl annotates it as hepatocellular carcinoma up-regulated long non-coding RNA. Its record names the gene HULC. Lineage: Eukaryota; Metazoa; Chordata; Mammalia; Primates; Hominidae. The record is from Ensembl.